This is a long non-coding RNA of Glossina fuscipes, 440 nucleotides long. RefSeq lists it as uncharacterized. Lineage: Eukaryota; Metazoa; Arthropoda; Insecta; Diptera; Glossinidae. The transcript is spliced from 3 exons. The record is from RefSeq and is a predicted model, not a curated record.
AGACUACCUGCCACAGUGUAACGCGCGAUGUUAAGAAAAAUAUGACUCAGUUGCACCGGCGUAUAGUACGCAACGCAUAGUCAAUUCCUUUUGAUGUUAAAUUAAUUUCAAAGAGCUUCCGUUUGUGUCGAUAUCGAGGCUUAGUUGGCAGGUCGAGGAUGAUGAUCUUUUUUAAUUGAAAGCGAAUCGAUGCCCACCAGAAGUUUCGUAGAAUUGCUUCUGCCUUAUUGGCAGCGGAUGUGAAUGCUUAAAUACCUCAUACGUGUACAAAAGUUGUUAAGUAAAACAAAGCCAAACUAGUUUGUCUAAAAAUUACGUGCUGUACCCAUGACAAAGUGGAAAAAGGAUAUAUCAGGUAUGGAUAAAGAUGGGUAUAACGAAAAUUGUCUCCUACAGUAAGAGUUAUUUGACUUUAUAAAAAUUACAUGAAAUUGAGAACU